This 72-nucleotide transfer RNA is filed under the name Phrynosoma platyrhinos (Desert horned lizard). RNAcentral's name for it is "tRNA-OTHER". The record is from RNAcentral. Lineage: Eukaryota; Metazoa; Chordata; Lepidosauria; Squamata; Phrynosomatidae.
GUCAAUGUGGCAUAGUGAUUUGAGUGUUGGACUUUGACUCUAUAGACCAGGGUUCAGUUCCCUGUUUGGCCA